UCUGCGCCUUCUUUCUUCUUCCUUUCUUUUACACACUCACAAUUUUUAUUCUAUCUCCGGUGCUCAAGCCUGCAAACAUAUUUUUCAACGUUUCGCAUUUAUUCACUUACUUCUGAUAGAUGCUUUAAUCGUUAGCUUUAUAUUUUCAGAAAAUUUCUCUGCUUUUUCUGAACAAACUUCAUUCGUUGUGCCACCUAUGUUAUAACAGUAAUAUCGCAAAUUGUCUUGUAUUUUGUAACUUAUGGAAGUAAAGUAACUACUGGACACACUUUUCGUUUAAAGUUUCGUUCCUCCUUUUAAUAUAUUUAUAAUGAACACCAAUGCAUGUCUUUGGUCUGUAAAAAUUUUCAGCUAUAUAUAUGCUGCUGCUCUGACAUAGUAAACAUUGAACUUUGAAACACGAUUAUCUAAGAAAGAGAAAAAUAAUGCAUGGUUGAGAAAAGAAAAAGAAAACUUUCUUUGACUCAUAACACUUUGAAAUGUGUGCCAUGAAUUUACUGAUACAACGUAUAUUCAAACAUGCAUUUACUUUACUCUCGAAGUCUUCCAUAAGUUACAAAACACUAGACAAGACUAUGGUAAAUUGCAAUAUUAUACUGCUAUAACAUAGGUGGCUCAACGAACAAAGUUUCUUCAGAAAAAGCAGAAAAACUUUUUGAAAAUAUAAAGCUAACAACUAAAGCAUCUGUCAGAAGUAAGUAAAUUUUUUCGUGGUUUCCAAUAAUGCAGUCUGCAUUGGAAUUCUAUGACUGAUCUGAGACAUGGUUAAAUGAUAAGCAAUGCAUGUGUUUGAUCUGAGACAGCAUCAGGAAUCCACCGAUGAUUCUACCAAUUAUCGUUUUGAUCUGAGACAGUGUAAUUAAGGAAUCCACCGAUGAUGCUGCCAAUUAACGUUUUUGGUGUAUCCUUAUGAAUCCAGCCAUGAGUUCUGCUGGCGAAGAGGACCAUCGCCUUAAUAAGAGUGCCGCACAGUUUGCCAUAUGUAGAAGGAUUCAACGUUGUACCAAUCAAAAUCUCUUAAAUAUCAUAAAUAUUUUAUUUUUAUA
Vigna unguiculata (cowpea) is the source of this 1046-nucleotide long non-coding RNA. RefSeq lists it as uncharacterized. The record is from RefSeq and is a predicted model, not a curated record. Lineage: Eukaryota; Viridiplantae; Streptophyta; Magnoliopsida; Fabales; Fabaceae.